RNAcentral lists this ribosomal RNA (413 nucleotides) under uncultured bacterium. RNAcentral's name for it is "bacterial SSU rRNA". It matches the Rfam family "Bacterial small subunit ribosomal RNA", at positions 505 to 916 of the family's 1533-position model. The record is from RNAcentral.
GUGUCAGCAGCCGCGGUAAUACGUAGGUGGCAAGCGUUAUCCGGAUUUAUUGGGCGUAAAGCGAGCGCAGGCGGUUUUUUAAGUCUGAUGUGAAAGCCCUCGGCUUAACCGAGGAAGCGCAUCGGAAACUGGGAAACUUGAGUGCAGAAGAGGACAGUGGAACUCCAUGUGUAGCGGUGAAAUGCGUAGAUAUAUGGAAGAACACCAGUGGCGAAGGCGGCUGUCUGGUCUGUAACUGACGCUGAGGCUCGAAAGCAUGGGUAGCGAACAGGAUUAGAUACCCUGGUAGUCCAUGCCGUAAACGAUGAAUGCUAGGUGUUGGAGGGUUUCCGCCCUUCAGUGCCGCAGCUAACGCAUUAAGCAUUCCGCCUGGGGAGUACGACCGCAAGGUUGAAACUCAAAUAAAUUGGCGG